AACGAACGCUGGCGGCAGGCUUAACACAUGCAAGUCGAACGCUCACCUUCGGGUGGGAGUGGCGGACGGGUGAGUAACGCGUGGGAACGUACCCUUUGGUUCGGAAUAACCCAGGGAAACUUGGGCUAACACCGGAUACGCCCUUCGGGGGAAAGGUUUACUGCCGAAGGAUCGGCCCGCGUCGGACUAGCUAGUUGGGGGGGUAAAAGCCUACCAAGGCGACGAUCCGUAGCUGGUCUGAGAGGAUGAUCAGCCACACUGGGACUGAGACACGGCCCAGACUCCUACGGGAGGCAGCAGUGGGGAAUAUUGGACAAUGGGCGCAAGCCUGAUCCAGCCAUGCCGCGUGAGUGAAGAAGGCCUUAGGGUUGUAAAGCUCUUUCAGCGGGGAAGAUAAUGACGGUACCCGCAGAAGAAGCCCCGGCUAACUUCGUGCCAGCAGCCGCGGUAAUACGAAGGGGGCUAGCGUUGUUCGGAAUUACUGGGCGUAAAGCGCGCGUAGGCGGGUGAUUAAGUCAGGGGUGAAAUGCCGAGGCUCAACCUCGGAACUGCCUUUGAUACUGGUCGCCUGGAGUUCGGGAAAGGUAAGUGGAAUUCCGAGUGUAGAGGUGAAAUUCGUAGAUAUUCGGAGGAACACCAGAAGCGAAGGCGGCUUACUGGCCC
Molecule: ribosomal RNA, 663 nt
Filed under: uncultured Alphaproteobacteria bacterium
Lineage: Bacteria; Pseudomonadati; Pseudomonadota; Alphaproteobacteria
Description: bacterial SSU rRNA
Rfam family: Bacterial small subunit ribosomal RNA
Source: RNAcentral